GGGGCCCUAAUUCAAGCAAUGUCAAUUAAAUUUGUCUACCUGUAUUCAUUAGAGCUUUGACAGAAACCUUUUAAGCUAGAACUUCUAACCAGCAAACCCAUAAACAGAAUUUGAGCACAUCUGAUCAAUAUCAUGAAUAUGUAGGUUGACUGAUUAUUGGUUUAUCAAAGUCCAGUGGCAAAUAUUACAAGAUGUUACAGUUAUGGACAAUAUAGAG
This 217-nucleotide long non-coding RNA is filed under the name Mytilus galloprovincialis (Mediterranean mussel). The record is from RNAcentral. Lineage: Eukaryota; Metazoa; Mollusca; Bivalvia; Mytilida; Mytilidae.